This 734-nucleotide long non-coding RNA is filed under the name Homo sapiens (human). Its description in RNAcentral is "non-protein coding HOTAIRM1:13". The stretch from base 13 to 137 matches the Rfam family "HOX antisense intergenic RNA myeloid 1 conserved region 1". Lineage: Eukaryota; Metazoa; Chordata; Mammalia; Primates; Hominidae. The record is from RNAcentral.
GCAGUGAUGGAUCACCGUUUUAGUGGCAUUUAAAUCCCCGGCGCUCCGCCGUCUAGGUGACGCGCAGUCGCCCCCCCAGGCAGCCUAGGCGGCGGCAGCUGCUGCGGCGACUGCAAAGGCCGAUUUGGAGUGCUGGAGCGAAGAAGAGCAAAAGCUGCGUUCUGCGCGCGCCCGACUCCGCUGCCCGCCCCGCCAGGCCUCCGGGAGGUGGGGGCUGGGAGGCGUCCCCCGCUCCCGCCCCCUCCCCACCGUUCAAUGAAAGAUGAACUGGCGAGAGGACGAAUCGCAUCCAGGAGCUGCGCAGCCCUGGCCGCUGCCGGGACGCCCUGCUCCGCGCUGAGCUUGGGGCCAGAAACCAGCCAUAGUCCCCACACUCCGCCGCCGCAGCUGAGAUUUAGCGGAGGAAGGGGCGAGGGAAGGUAGGGAGCAAACCUAUGAAGAAACAUCGCGUUGUCAUUGGAACUUCCAAGCCUUUGCUGUUAAGAGCCAGGUUCUUAAAUCAACCCGCCCCACACACAUGUUGCUUACAUGCUGCGUUUUCUCACGGUCUGUUUUGCCUGAACCCAUCAACAGCUGGGAGAUUAAUCAACCACACUGAAAAUGUGGAGGGAUUUAUGGGGGAGGGGGUUGAAAUGUGGGUGUUUGAAACAAAAGUGUAUAAACAAAUGAAUUGUUGAUAACUUAGUUAUUGACCUGGAGACUGGUAGCUUAUUAAAGAAACUCCGUGUUACUCA